Molecule: ribosomal RNA, 470 nt
Filed under: uncultured bacterium
Lineage: Bacteria
Description: bacterial SSU rRNA
Rfam family: Bacterial small subunit ribosomal RNA
Source: RNAcentral
UGAACGCUGGCGGCAUGCCUAACACAUGCAAGUCGAACGCGAAAGCCCUUCGGGGUGAGUAGAGUGGCGGACGGGUGAGUAACGCGUGGGAAUCUGCCCUGUAGUGGGGAACAACCCGAGGAAACUCGGGCUAAUACCGCAUACGUCCUAUGGGAGAAAGGGGGCUUCGGCUCUCGCUGCAGGAUGAGCCCGCGUCCGAUUAGCUAGUUGGUGGGGUAAUGGCCCACCAAGGCGACGAUCGGUAGCUGGUCUGAGAGGAUGAUCAGCCACACUGGGACUGAGACACGGCCCAGACUCCUACGGGAGGCAGCAGUGGGGAAUAUUGGACAAUGGGCGAAAGCCUGAUCCAGCAAUGCCGCGUGUGUGAAGAAGGCCUGCGGGUUGUAAAGCACUUUCAGUAGGGAAGAAAAGCCUAGGGUUAAUACCUCUGGGUGUUGACGUUACCCACAGAAGAAGCACCGGCUAACUCC